AUGCAAGUCGAACGCGAAAACCCCGCAAGGGGUUAGUAGAGUGGCGAACGGGUGAGUAACACGUGGGUGACCUACCUUCGAAUGGGGGAUAACGUCCCGAAAGGGACGCUAAUACCGCAUAACAUCCUGCUUUUGAACAAGUGGAGAUCAAAGCCGGGGAUCGCAAGACCUGGCGUUUGAAGAGGGGCCCGCGUCUGAUUAGCUAGUUGGUGAGGUAACGGCUCACCAAGGCGACGAUCAGUAUCCGGCCUGAGAGGGCGGACGGACACACUGGGACUGAGACACGGCCCAGACUCCUACGGGAGGCAGCAGUGGGGAAUUGUUCGCAAUGGGCGCAAGCCUGACGACGCAACGCCGCGUGGAGGAUGAAGGUCUUCGGAUUGUAAACUCCUGUUGCCCGGGACGAAACGCUUCGACCUAACACGUCGGAGUUUGACGGUACCGGGUGAGGAAGCCCCGGCUAACUCUGUGCCAGCAGCCGCGGUAAUACAGAGGGGGCAAGCGUUGUUCGGAAUUACUGGGCGUAAAGGGCGCGUAGGCGGCCUUCUAAGUCGAACGUGAAAUCCCCGGGCUCAACCCGGGAACUGCGUCCGAUACUGGAAGGCUUGAAUCCGGGAGAGGGAUGCGGAAUUCCAGGUGUAGCGGUGAAAUGCGUAGAUAUCUGGAGGAACACCGGUGGCGAAGGCGGCAUCCUGGACCGGCAUUGACGCUGAGGCGCGAAAGCCAGGGGAGCAAACGGGAUUAGAUACCCCGGUAGUCCUGGCCCUAAACGAUGAAUGCUUGGUGUGGCGGGUAUCGAUCCCUGCCGUGCCGAAGCUAACGCAUUAAGCAUUCCGCC
Molecule: ribosomal RNA, 838 nt
Filed under: uncultured Bacillota bacterium
Lineage: Bacteria; Bacillati; Bacillota
Description: bacterial SSU rRNA
Rfam family: Bacterial small subunit ribosomal RNA
Source: RNAcentral